GCCUGGGUGGCUCAGUCGGUUGAGCGUCCGACUUUAGCUCAGGUCAUGAUCUCGCGGUUUGUGGGUUCGAGCCCCGCGUCGGGCU
RNAcentral lists this transfer RNA (85 nucleotides) under Felis catus (domestic cat). It matches the Rfam family "tRNA". From Rfam's summary of the family: Transfer RNA (tRNA) molecules are approximately 80 nucleotides in length. Lineage: Eukaryota; Metazoa; Chordata; Mammalia; Carnivora; Felidae. The record is from Rfam by way of RNAcentral.